Molecule: long non-coding RNA, 260 nt
Filed under: Arabidopsis lyrata
Lineage: Eukaryota; Viridiplantae; Streptophyta; Magnoliopsida; Brassicales; Brassicaceae
Description: long non-coding RNA (ALYR_LNC001980)
Source: RNAcentral
UGGUCGAGUCUGCUCCCAGUCAGCUUCCUGGCGUCCUACUCGACGUGUCAUCGAGCCAUGACGUCGAGUCUGGUCCUGGGUGAUCUUGAACGACUUCAUUCCUCUCCAAUUCGAUCCCAAGUCUAGCUCCAAGGUCGUGUUGGUUCCUCCUUGCUCCAUUAAGUCCCAAAUAAGCUCCAAAGUACCUGAAACUCAUCCAAUAUGCAACAUGCUAUGCCACGCAAUGCAAAUCGUACUAAGUGAUGAAAAUCUUAUGAAAA